Non-coding RNA from Erythranthe guttata (spotted monkey flower), 1986 nucleotides. The record is from RefSeq and is a predicted model, not a curated record. Lineage: Eukaryota; Viridiplantae; Streptophyta; Magnoliopsida; Lamiales; Phrymaceae.
UUAUUUAUUUCACUUAGUAUCCACUUUAUCUUAUAUAAUUUUAUUUACUAAUUACAUUUUUUUCUUAUUUAAUUAUCACCUACUUCUGUCUUUUUCUCCUUUAAAUAUACGUCUUCACUUUUCACGGUCCUUCUCUCUCCCCCUCACCUGUGAAAUGUUUUUCAAAUCCACCUCUUUCUUUUUCUCCCAGCCCCUUUCACAAUUUCAAUUUCCCUCUCCACCUUCUCAAGCACACCCCGGUUUCUCUCCAUUUAGAUCCGGUUCAACCAUGUAUAUACCCCUGUAUCUAUCGAUUUCAGUUACAGAGCGGGAAACUAAAAUCUGUUCUUAUAAAUUCACACACAACUGGGUAGAAUGCGGAAUACACCACUUUCAAUUUCAAUUUUCUGAUCUGCGGCGGCUACAUACUCUUCUUCUUCGUCCCCACACACACACAGUGCUUCUUCAUCCACACACACGCACUCAAUUGGCACACAUUAUAUCAGAGUCAUCUACGGCUUCGUCGCCUACGCCGCCUCCUUCGCCGCCGCCAGAAGAAUUGCAGUGGCCUUUUCGCGAAAAUAACUUCCGAAACAUUAACGAGCACCACCUCCCUUCCGUCAUCAUGCGGGCUUCACCGCCGAGGUUAGUCAGAUUUCAAGUUUUCUCAAUUCUGGUUCGAACGGAACGCAAUUGGAUUUCUGCCGGUUUUAAUUUGUUUUAUAUAUAUAUAUAUAUACAUAUAUAUGUAGAUUCUUCUUUACGGAGGUCAAGUAAUAUCUUGGACGAACAACAAUGGUGAAGAGUUGUUGUUUCUUAGCGAGAUGACGAAUUACACAAAUGGGAUUCGUGGAGGCAUCUCGAUUUACGUAAUUAUUGCGUUUAUUUGUUUUCAUAUAUAUAUAUAUAUAUAUAAAUAUAUAUAUGCAAUUAAGAUCGUUUUAACGAUUAACUGACAUGAUCAGUAUUACAAGAAUGGAUAUUUGGAGGAGCAUGGCAUUGCUCGAACCUUAACUUGGAGAAUCGAGGAUCUGACCAAUGAACCAAAUCUCCGCCAUACAGGACUCGAACUCGAUGAAGCGGCGUUUGUUGAUCUCGUUAUCGAUUCUAAUCAAGAAGACAUCCAAAACUGGCCUUAUGGGUACGUGUUACUUUGGGACCCACCGGAAAUUUGGAUAUAACAUCUCGUGUAAUAAAUCGCAGUGGGAAAUGUUUCUCAUUCAAAUUUGCCUUUCACACCUGCUUUUCUAUCUCAAAUAUUAUGUAAUCGAUGUACUGUUUUUUUCUUUUAUUAUUAUAAAAUGAAAUAAAUUAAUAAUCCCAUUUCCAGUGAUACUGAGAUUGAAGGAUUGGAGGCUGUGGAAUAUCUAGACUUUUUGCAGGACGGCAAUCGAUUUAUUGAAGGGGAUGAGCCUAUCGUUAUCGAUGAUAAAGUGUGUUUAUAUAAAAAUAGAUUAAUUCUUCUGAUUUUACCAAUGAUUAUGAAUUUAUACACUUGUUGACUUGACUUCGAUUUUCAUUUUAGCUGGACAGGAUGUAUCUAGAUAUUCCUGAGCAGAUCUCUGUUAGGGACAAUCAGGCUGGAAGAACUUUUACGAUUAGUAAAAGUGUAGAUCUACCUGAUGUUGGUAAGUGUUUAUAUAUAUACAAACUUGAUAGUGAUUUUGUAUUUCAAUGCAACGUAUUAUUUAAUAAAACUUCCGUUAUAAUUUUUUUUUUUUGGUAGUUGUGUAUAAUCCAUGGCAUGAUGCAAGUAACAUAAUUGAUAUGCCAAUUAUGAGAGAUGACGAGUACAUGUACACGAUUUCUGUUGAGGCUGCUGCUAAGGUGACCGAUGUUAUUUUGAAGACGAAUGAAGCGUGGAAAGUGAUUCUAACUCUCUUCGAGGACUUAAACUGACUUCGAAUUGAUGGUCAUCUUAUAUCAAAUAUUAACUACAGUUUGUUAGUUUGCUGAAUACAUUUUUUUUUUCAUUUUUUUGCUAUGUACUUUUCUGGAUUGAAGAAU